UAGCAAUACCAUGAGAGUGGCGCACGGGUGAGUAACGCGUAUGCAACCUACCUGUAACAUAGGGAUAGCCCAUAGAAAUGUGGAUUAACACCUCAUAGUUCUUAUUAGUCGCAUGACUGAAAAGAUAAAACUCCGGUGGUUACAGAUGGGCAUGCGUGACAUUAGCUAGUUGGUAAGGUAACGGCUUACCAAGGCUACGAUGUCUAGGGGUUCUGAGAGGAUGAUCCCCCACACUGGUACUGAGACACGGACCAGACUCCUACGGGAGGCAGCAGUGAGGAAUAUUGGUCAAUGGGCGCAAGCCUGAACCAGCCAUCCCGCGUGCAGGAUGACGGCCCUAUGGGUUGUAAACUGCUUUUAUACACCAAGAAAAACUACCACGUGUGGUAGCCCGACGGUAGUGUAUGAAUAAGCAUCGGCUAUAAGUCUGAUGUGAAAUCCUGUCGCUUAACGAUAGAAUUGCCAUUGAUACUGAGAAGCUUGAGUACAGUUGAGGUAAGCGGAAUGUGUAGUGUAGCGGUGAAAUGCUUAGAUAUUACACAGAACACCGAUUGCGAAGGCAGCUUACUAAACUGUUACUGACGCUGAUGCACGAAAGCGUGGGGAGCGAACAGGAUUAGAUACCCUGGUAGUCCACGCCGUAAACGAUGAUCACUCGCUGUAUGCGAUACACAGUAUGCGGCCAAGCGAAAGCAUUAAGUGAUCCACCUGGGGAGUACGAUCGCAAGGUUGAAACUCAAAGGAAUUGACGGGGGCCCGCACAAGCGGAGGAACAUGUGGUUUAAUUCGAUGAUACGCGAGGAACCUUACCUGGGCUUAAAUGGGGAACGACAGCUGCCGAAAGGUGGCCUUCUUCGGUAAUUCGAUGAUACGCGAGGAACCUUACCUGGGCUUAAAUGGGGAACGACAGCUGCCGAAAGGUGGCCUUCUUCGGACGUUCUUCAAGGUGCUGCAUGGUUGUCGUCAGCUCGUGCCGUGAGGUGUCGGGUUAAGUCCCAUAACGAGCGCAACCCUUAUCGUUAGUUGCCAGCGGGUCAUGCCGGGGACUCUAGCGAGACUGCCACCGUAAGGUGUGAGGAAGGUGGGGAUGACGUCAAAUCAGCACGGCCCUUAUGUCCAGGGCUACACACGUGUUACAAUGGCCGAUACAAAGGGCAGCUACCAGGUGACUGGAUGCUAAUCUCUAAAGUCGGUCUCAGUUCGGAUUGUAGGCUG
This 1215-nucleotide ribosomal RNA is filed under the name uncultured bacterium. RNAcentral describes it as "partial 16S ribosomal RNA". It matches the Rfam family "Bacterial small subunit ribosomal RNA", at positions 77 to 1307 of the family's 1533-position model. The record is from RNAcentral.